AAUGCUUGGGAAUCUAGCUUAUGGAGGGGGAUAACUACGGGAAACUGUAGCUAAUACCGCGUAGAGUCGAGAGAUGAAAGUGUGGGACCUUCGGGCCACAUGCCAUAGGAUGAGCCCAAGUGGGAUUAGGUAGUUGGUGAGGUAAAGGCUCACCAAGCCGACGAUCUCUAGCUGGUCUGAGAGGAUGACCAGCCACACUGGGACUGAGACACGGCCCAG
This 219-nucleotide ribosomal RNA is filed under the name uncultured Pasteurellales bacterium. RNAcentral describes it as "partial 16S ribosomal RNA". It matches the Rfam family "Bacterial small subunit ribosomal RNA", at positions 112 to 334 of the family's 1533-position model. The record is from RNAcentral. Lineage: Bacteria; Pseudomonadati; Pseudomonadota; Gammaproteobacteria; Pasteurellales.